UACGAAGGGGGCUAGCGUUGUCCGGAAUUACUGGGCGUAAAGGGCGCGUAGGCGGUUUGCUAAGUUGGAUGUGAAAACUCUGGGCUUAACCCAGAGCCUGCAUCCAAAACUGGCAAACUUGAGUACUGGAGGGGAAAGCGGAAUUCCUGGUGUAGCGGUGAAAUGCGUAGAUAUCAGGAGGAACACCGGUGGCGAAGGCGGCUUUCUGGACAGUAACUGACGCUGAGGCGCGAAAGCUAGGGGAGCAAACAGG
Molecule: ribosomal RNA, 253 nt
Filed under: uncultured bacterium
Lineage: Bacteria
Description: partial 16S ribosomal RNA
Rfam family: Bacterial small subunit ribosomal RNA
Source: RNAcentral